Molecule: ribosomal RNA, 261 nt
Filed under: uncultured prokaryote
Description: partial 16S ribosomal RNA
Rfam family: Bacterial small subunit ribosomal RNA
Source: RNAcentral
UACGGAGGAUGCAAGCGUUGUCCGGAUUUACUGGGCGUAAAGGGAGCGUAGGCGGACUUUUAAGUGAGAUGUGAAAUACCCGGGCUCAACUUGGGUGCUGCAUUUCAAACUGGAAGUCUAGAGUGCAGGAGAGGAGAAUGGAAUUCCUAGUGUAGCGGUGGAAUGCGUAGAUAUUAGGAGGAACACCAGUUGCGAAGGCGGCUCUCUGGACUGUAACUGACACUGAGGCACGAAAGCGUGGGGAGCAAACAGGAUUAGAUA